RNAcentral lists this ribosomal RNA (336 nucleotides) under Triticum aestivum (bread wheat). Its description in RNAcentral is "partial small subunit ribosomal RNA". Lineage: Eukaryota; Viridiplantae; Streptophyta; Magnoliopsida; Poales; Poaceae. The record is from RNAcentral.
AUGGCGACGCUCGAGGCGCCAGAGAGGCAAGUGGAUGACUUCGCCGGAGUCAAGUGGAUGAUGAUGGCAGUAUUCCGGUUUUCUGCGAUGAUGUACAUUGCCGUGGGGUCCUGCCUUGAUUCUUUCCUUCGUUUAACUGACUUCACAGGUCUCCCCCUCUUUUGUUCACCAUCCACACCACCGUUCACACCAUUAUUGACUCCGGAAGAACUCAGCCAUUUUGAAGCACAGAAGGUGUCCCUCACUAGUCUGAGCAGCAGCCGUCACUCUGGAUACAAGCUCAAAGCCGCAGCCUCAGUUAGGUUAACAGGGCAGCCAUUCCGUGUGAGCGGCUGA